RNAcentral lists this ribosomal RNA (374 nucleotides) under uncultured prokaryote. RNAcentral's name for it is "bacterial SSU rRNA". It matches the Rfam family "Bacterial small subunit ribosomal RNA", at positions 524 to 896 of the family's 1533-position model. The record is from RNAcentral.
GACGAGGGAUCCUAGCGUUGUUCGGAAUUAUUGGGCGUAAAGCGGGUGUAGGCGGCUCUGUAAGUCAGAUGUGAAAGCCCUGGGCUCAACCUAGGAAGUGCAUUUGAUACUGCGGAGCUUGAGUGUGGGAGAGGCUAGUGGAAUUCCUGGUGUAGUGGUGAAAUACGUAGAUAUCAGGAGGAACAUCGGUGGCGAAGGCGGCUAGCUGGCCCAACACUGACGCUGAGAUCCGAAAGCGUGGGGAUCAAACAGGAUUAGAUACCCUGGUAGUCCACGCUGUAAACGAUGGAUACUUGUUGUUGGAGGUAUUGACCCCUUCAGUGACGAAGCUAACGCGUUAAGUAUCCCGCCUGGGGAGUACGGUCGCAAGAUUA